GAUGAACGCUGGCGGCGUGCCUAAUACAUGCAAGUCGAGCGAACAGACGAGGAGCUUGCUCCUCUGACGUUAGCGGCGGACGGGUGAGUAACACGUGGAUAACCUACCUAUAAGACUGGGAUAACUUCGGGAAACCGGAGCUAAUACCGGAUAAUAUAUUGAACCGCAUGGUUCAAUAGUGAAAGACGGUUUUGCUGUCACUUAUAGAUGGAUCCGCGCCGCAUUAGCUAGUUGGUAAGGUAACGGCUUACCAAGGCAACGAUGCGUAGCCGACCUGAGAGGCGGGUCGGCCACCUGGGAGCUGAGACACGGUCAAUACGCCUACGGGAGGCACCAGUAGGGAACCUGCCGCAAUAGUCGAAAGCCUGACGGAACAGCGCCGAGUGAGUGGUGAAGGUCUUCGGAGCGUGAUACUCUGUUAUUAGGGAUGAACAAAUGUGUAAGGAACUAUGCACGUCGUGACGGUACCUAAUCAGAAAGCAACGGCUAACUACGUG
This 497-nucleotide ribosomal RNA is filed under the name uncultured bacterium. Its description in RNAcentral is "partial 16S ribosomal RNA". It matches the Rfam family "Bacterial small subunit ribosomal RNA", at positions 28 to 507 of the family's 1533-position model. The record is from RNAcentral.